GACGAACGCUGGCGGUGUGCUUAACACAUGCAAGUCGAACGGUAAGGCCCUUUCGGGGGUACACGAGUGGCGAACGGGUGAGUAACACGUGAGUAACCUGCCCUCAUCUCUGGGAUAACAGUCGGAAACGGUUGCUAAUACUGGAUAUGAGCUUGCUAGGCAUCUUGUGGGUUGGAAAGAUUUUUUUUGGUUGGGGAUGGACUCGCGGCCUAUCAGCUUGUUGGUGAGGUAGUGGCUCACCAAGGCUUCGACGGGUAUCCGGCCUGAGAGGGCGACCGGCCACAUUGGGACUGAGAUACGGCCCAAACUCCUACGGGAGGCAGCAGUGGGGAAUAUUGCACAAUGGACGGAAGUCUGAUGCAGCAACGCCGCGUGCGGGAUGACGGCCUUCGGGUUGUAAACCGCUUUCAAUUGUGACGAAGCUUUUUUGUGACGGUAGCAGUAGAAGAAGCACCGGCUAACUACGUG
RNAcentral lists this ribosomal RNA (468 nucleotides) under uncultured bacterium. RNAcentral describes it as "partial 16S ribosomal RNA". It matches the Rfam family "Bacterial small subunit ribosomal RNA", at positions 28 to 507 of the family's 1533-position model. The record is from RNAcentral.